UAAUACAUAUCAGCCCCAUUGCCGUUCCUAGGAUACAGUCCCACGCUACUCUAAACUUCUCUCUCGAACGUAGCUCGCUCCUCACCGGCAAUGACAACCCUCACUGUCAUUGGCUCGGCGCUGGCCCGUCGUCGUCUCUCUUUGCCACGGCGGAAUCGAAUUCAGUCCUAAAUCGAAACCAAAACCUUACCAGUCGACGCAACCCAAACCCUAGCCGCCGAGAAUCCCAAAAACCCACACUCAUUCACAGGCAAGCUUUACCUAUUUCUCACUGAUUUCUAGCGAGUGAUGGUUAACUUCGCUGUUAUGUCAACUAUUUUCGGCACGAGCUUCACGGUUCUCAUCUCUUUGAGACCCUAAGUAUGAUUUUUUUGGGUUUCAAGUCGUUUUGCAGCAUUAUUGUUUUGUUUCAUUGUUUGGUUUCAAGUCUUUUUGCAGUAUUAUUAUUUUGUUUCAUUGUUUCUCUUAUUUGAUUUGUGAUUAUAAAUCUACAUACAGUAUAGGAUGCUGUUCCAACUCUUGCAUAAUGAUUUUUUUUUUUUUUGGGCAUUUGUUAGAUCUGUGUUAUGCAUUCAAUGUGUUUGUUAAAAGUUUUGUUAUAUUUAUGGGUAAUCUUGUGUUUUAGUAUUACAGUAAUUCAUUAGUAUUUUCUCAUUUAUCAAAUUUUAGAAACAUUUUUUGUGUUCUAAAACCUGCCCUAUUAUUAAUCGGCUAAAUUGAGCGAGACGAGGAUGAGUAGAACAGUAUGGUCAGGACUGAUAACUCCGUACAGAUGAACUUUUCAGUUUUAGCAUUGAAGAAAAUUACAGAUCUUGUUAAUAGUGUUCUUUUGGGCUUCUAAUGAUAGGUUUAAUUUUAGUCUACAAUUCAGCCCUCUUCUGGAUUGAAAAGUCUUGUAGAACUUGUGACAAAUGGUUAAGUUGCCACUCAGUUAAUAGCCUGCAUUUGCAUUGUAGCUGGUAAUGCUUGAUCCUUCAGUAGGAAUGAAAAGAAUAUUGAAAAAUUACUGCAAAUUCUAAUUAUCUGCAAAAGUUUCUUGAAUAAUUGGUGGAAAGAAUCUCUAAAUUGUCAUUAGUAAUUUAGUUAUCUGUGGACUUUGAAGUUACCGAUUAUUUAGUCAUUGAAUAUAAUUUUAUCAUAAUCAUUAUAAUUUGUUCUGUUUAUUUUUAUUCUGAGAUGCGAGGGAUUUUAUUAACAUGCUUUAUUGCUUUCAAUUCUGUCAUGGUUUAGAAGUGUAUUCUGUUUAAUGUGAAAGAGAACUCAAGUUGUUGUGGUGAGCCCCUCCUUGUAAUUGUAGCUCAAGCCUCAAUGGUAUUAGAUUUAGAGCCCUAUGGGGCUCUUUAUAAUUCAAAUGUUUAGUAUAUCAUGUUAUUAAGUAAUAUAAUUGAUAAAUAAAAUAUAAAAUAGGUGUAUAGGAAUCAUGUCGCAUGAUAAAAAGAAAUUAGUUUAGAAAAUUAAAGAGGGAUAAGCAUCUCCUACACUAACUGGUAUUUCAAUAUUACAAAUUAAUUUGUAAUGAGUACGAUAGUAGCAAAUUAUGUAAAACAGUACAAGAGAGAGUUCAACAAUUUGUGGUUAUUUUUGAAAAACCUCAAAAGAUACUUGCAAAUUUCUCAAUGAUGAUGGCAGCCAGUUGUGUGGUUUUUGUGUGCUUAGCUUUCUUUUAAAACUUGGAAAGCAUGCUUAUGGUACAAAAAGUAGUAGAUGUAAGGGUAAUUUGGUAAUGACAGCGGUUUGUUUUUAUAGUGAUUUCUUUAAAAUAUUUUUGUCAGGUGGUUUGUUUUAUCAAUUCAUCACCCUAUGGAAAAUAGAAUGCAGCAUUUCAAUGAACAGUUCUCAUUGAGUUUGCCUUUCCCAACUAAUUUUUUUUUUUUUUAACCAUAGCGUCAUUCAAUACACAAAUGUAGACCCCAAUCGGAGCUUUGAAGACUUAAAAGUGCGGGUUCUCAAUUUGAACUUCUAGAUUUAAUUUUUUAUUUUUAUUUUAAAAUUUGUAUAUGGUAUAAUUCACUAUCUCUGCAGAUUUUAUGAGUCAUUAAAUUUGAAUCAAAGUGGGGCAUUUUUAUUAGAUCCCAACUGUCUAUACAUACACACACAAUGAGAGAAUAGAGAUUAAACUCUCUAAUUCUAGAUACCUUGGAAGGAGAAAGUGAAAAUAUUAAAGCAGGAUCUGAAACUCUGAUUCAGUUUCGAUAGUUUGUUCAGCAGCCUUUUUAUCUUCAAGCAAGGGAUUGCUUAUUUAGUUUUUCUUUAAUCCCUGUUAUUCUUUAUAAUCUCUUUUUUGGGUGUGCAAACAUUAAUUGAUAAGUUUGCUUAGGCUGAGCAUGCAAGAGUUAGAAUUUCAGCAUUCAUUCAAAUUCUUGGAAUAUUCUAAUCCAAAAUAGUAUUAAACUUUAAUAAUGCAUGCGAUGGUUACCAGUAAGAAGACAUGCUAAAGAGAACAAAACUUAAAGAAUAAUGAACUUGAGUACAUAUACAUCAGAUUUGGCCUAAGCCUUACAGCUAUAGUUAUUGAUUUUAAUUUUAUUUAUUUAUCAUUAGCUUUGUUGGCUAUAAAAGCACGGCUUGAAGACUUGGUACUACAGAAUAUUGGUAUUCACGACGGGAAAAUACAGAAUGCAGAGAUUGCUGUGGAUGCUUUGUUUAUAUGGUAGGUGUUGUACACAACUAAUGGUACUGUAUAAUUUUCAUUUUUAUUUGUUUUGUUCGUGUAAAUUUCUUUAAUCCUUUUUAAUGUCACUUCAGAGAACAGAAAAAAAGGGUCUCGCCUUAUUCUUCACCAAAUAUUUUCAUAUUCUACUAUUUUCAUGUGUAAAUACUUAUUUUUCACUGAAUGCUUUCCAUUGAUGAAAUGGGAAUCAUGUUACUUGAUUCUGGGGCCUGGAUUUUGCUGCUGGAAAAUCUACAUCGAUAUUGGCUUGACUUUGGAAUAUUAAUUAACGGAUCCCUCUAAGUUACAUGCAUGUACCUUACAACUCUCUCAC
RNAcentral lists this long non-coding RNA (2984 nucleotides) under Citrus maxima (pomelo). Its description in RNAcentral is "long non-coding RNA (CMAX_LNC000882)". Lineage: Eukaryota; Viridiplantae; Streptophyta; Magnoliopsida; Sapindales; Rutaceae. The record is from RNAcentral.